UAUUAGUAUCCCAAGAGGAAACGGAGAUG
Molecule: non-coding RNA, 29 nt
Filed under: Mus musculus (house mouse)
Lineage: Eukaryota; Metazoa; Chordata; Mammalia; Rodentia; Muridae
Source: RNAcentral